GGAAUCUUCCACAAUGGACGAAACUCUGAUGCAGCCAUGCCGCGUGAGUGAAGAAGGCCUUAGGGUUGUAAAGCUCUUUCAAUCGUGAAGAUAAUGACGGUAGCGAUAGAAGAAGCCCCGGCUAAAUUCGUGCCAGCAGCCGCGGUAAUACGAAUGGGGCAAGCGUUGUUCGGAAUCACUGGGCUUAAAGCGUGCGCAGGCGGAUAUGCAAGUCAGAAGUGAAAUCCCAGGGCUCAACCCUGGAAUUGCUUUUGAAACUGCAUGUCUAGAAUCCCGGAGAGGUUAGGAGAAUUCCGAGUGUAGAGGUGAAAUUCGCAGAUAUUCGGAGGAAUACCAGUGGCGUAGGCGCCUAACUGGACGGGCAUUGACGCUCAGGCACGAAAGCGUGGGUAGCAA
RNAcentral lists this ribosomal RNA (396 nucleotides) under uncultured bacterium. RNAcentral describes it as "bacterial SSU rRNA". It matches the Rfam family "Bacterial small subunit ribosomal RNA", at positions 358 to 771 of the family's 1533-position model. The record is from RNAcentral.